AGCGAACGCUGGCGGCAGGCCUAACACAUGCAAGUCGAACGAACCUUUCGGGGUUAGUGGCGGACGGGUGAGUAACACGUGGGAACGUGCCUUUAGGUUCGGAAUAACUCAGGGAAACUUGUGCUAAUACCGAAUGUGCCCUUCGGGGGAAAGAUUAAUCGCCUUUAGAGCGGCCCGCGUCUGAUUAGCUAGUUGGUUGAGGUAAUGGCUCACCAAGGCGACGAUCAGUAGCUGGUCUGAGAGGAUGAUCAGCCACAUUGGGACUGAGACACGGCCCAAACUCCUACGGGAGGCAGCAGUGGGGAAUCUUGCGCAAUGGGCGAAAGCCUGACGCAGCCAUGCCGCGUGAAUGAUGAAGGUCUUAGGAUUGUAAAAUUCUUUCACCGGGGACGAUAAUGACGGUACCCGGAGAAGAAGCCCCGGCUAGCUUCGUG
RNAcentral lists this ribosomal RNA (434 nucleotides) under uncultured bacterium. RNAcentral describes it as "partial 16S ribosomal RNA". It matches the Rfam family "Bacterial small subunit ribosomal RNA", at positions 29 to 507 of the family's 1533-position model. The record is from RNAcentral.